UACGAAGGGGGCUAGCGUUGUUCGGAAUUACUGGGCGUAAAGGGCGCGUAGGUGGCCCGGUCAGUUCGUGGUGAAAGCGCGGGGCUCAACCCUGCGUCGGCCAUGAAUACUGCCGCGGCUGGAGCACUGUAGAGGCAGGCGGAAUUCCGGGUGUAGCGGUGGAAUGCGUAGAGAUCCGGAAGAACACCGGUGGCGAAGGCGGCCUGCUGGGCAGUUGCUGACACUGAGGCGCGACAGCGUGGGGAGCAAACAGG
Molecule: ribosomal RNA, 254 nt
Filed under: uncultured bacterium
Lineage: Bacteria
Description: partial 16S ribosomal RNA
Rfam family: Bacterial small subunit ribosomal RNA
Source: RNAcentral